GUGAAUGCCUAGGCUCUCAAAGGCGAUGAAGGACGUGAUAAGCUGCGAUAAGCUACGGUUAGGAGCAAAUAUCCUUACCCGUAGAUUUCCGAAUGGGGCAACCCUGUAGUUUGAAGAACUACAAUCCGAAAGGAAGCAAACCCGGAGAACUGAAACAUCUAAGUACCCCGGAGGAAGAGAAAACAAUUAAGUGAUUCCCUAAGUAGUGGCGAGCGAAAGGGGAACAGCCCAAACCAGUGUCGUUACGGCGAUACUGGGGUUGUAGGACUACAAUGUGGACUGUUUUUUCAAAGUGGAAAUACCUGGAAAGGUAUAUCACAGAGGGGUGAUAAUCCCGUACACGAAUUGAAAGAGCUACCUAGUAGUAUCCUGAGUACCGCGAGGUCGGAGACGCCUUGUGGGAAUCUGCCAGCACCAUCUGGUAAGGCUAAAUACUUUUGAGAGACCGAUAGUGAACUAGUACUGUGAAGGAAAGGUGAAAAAGAACGCGAACAGCGGAGUGAAAUAGAACCUGAAACCAUACGCUUACAAGCGGUCGGAGCAGCUACGU
This 550-nucleotide ribosomal RNA is filed under the name uncultured bacterium. Its description in RNAcentral is "bacterial LSU rRNA". It matches the Rfam family "Bacterial large subunit ribosomal RNA", at positions 24 to 588 of the family's 2925-position model. The record is from RNAcentral.